Molecule: transfer RNA, 72 nt
Filed under: Styracaster yapensis
Lineage: Eukaryota; Metazoa; Echinodermata; Asteroidea; Paxillosida; Porcellanasteridae
Description: tRNA-Lys
Source: RNAcentral
CUUUGAUAAGCUAAUAAGGAAGCAUCAAACUCUUAAUUUGAAUUAAAGUGAAAACCCCCUCACUAUCAAAGA